Molecule: ribosomal RNA, 127 nt
Filed under: Octodon degus (degu)
Lineage: Eukaryota; Metazoa; Chordata; Mammalia; Rodentia; Octodontidae
Source: RNAcentral
UACGGCCAUACCACCCUGAAUGCGCCCAAUCUCGUCUGAUCUCGGAAGCUAAGCAAGGGUCCGGCCUGGUUAGUACUUGGAUGGGAGACAUCACUAGCCAUCUGUGAAAUGCAAAUUAAAGCAACAC